RNAcentral lists this ribosomal RNA (253 nucleotides) under uncultured bacterium. RNAcentral's name for it is "partial 16S ribosomal RNA". It matches the Rfam family "Bacterial small subunit ribosomal RNA", at positions 524 to 776 of the family's 1533-position model. The record is from RNAcentral.
UACGAAGGGGGCUAGCGUUGCUCGGAAUCACUGGGCGUAAAGGGUGCGUAGGCGGGUUUUUAAGUCAGGGGUGAAAUCCUGGAGCUCAACUCCAGAACUGCCUUUGAUACUGAGGAUCUUGAGUUCGGGAGAGGUGAGUGGAACUGCGAGUGUAGAGGUGAAAUUCGUAGAUAUUCGCAAGAACACCAGUGGCGAAGGCGGCUCACUGGCCCGGUACUGACGCUGAGGCACGAAAGCGUGGGGAGCAAACAGG